GAGAAGAAACGGCGAUUAAGUGUAGAUCAAGUUAAGGCCUUGGAGAAGAACUUUGAGGUUGAAAACAAGCUUGAACCAGAGAGAAAAGUGAAGCUUGCCCAAGAACUUGGCUUGCAACCAAGACAAGUGGCUGUUUGGUUUCAAAACCGCCGUGCCCGUUGGAAAACCAAGCAAUUGGAAAGAGACUAUGGCGUUCUCAAAGCCAAUUACGAAGCUCUUAAGGUCAAUUUUGAGUCCCUCCAACAUGACAAUGAGACUCUACUCAAAGAGGUAAGAGAGCUGAAGGCGAAGCUCAACGAAGAAAAGACAGAGAGCAAUGUUUCUGUUAAAGAAGAGAUAAUCUUGACAGAAUCCGAUGAUAAAGCAAGUGAAGAGCCACCGCUUCUGGCUUCAGUGGCCGCAUCAGGGAUAAAAGACCUAAAUUAUGAGAGCUUCAAC
Molecule: unclassified non-coding RNA, 438 nt
Filed under: Hevea brasiliensis (rubber tree)
Lineage: Eukaryota; Viridiplantae; Streptophyta; Magnoliopsida; Malpighiales; Euphorbiaceae
Source: RNAcentral